Molecule: ribosomal RNA, 411 nt
Filed under: uncultured prokaryote
Description: bacterial SSU rRNA
Rfam family: Bacterial small subunit ribosomal RNA
Source: RNAcentral
GUGUCAGCCGCCGCGGUAAUACGGAGGGUGCAAGCGUUGUCCGGAAUUAUUGGGUUUAAAGGGUGCGUAGGCGGCUUGUUAAGUCAGAGGUGAAAUCCCACAGCUCAACUGUGGAACUGCCUUUGAUACUGAUAAGCUUGAGUACGGUAAAGGUAGGCGGAAUUUAUGAUGUAGCGGUGAAAUGCAUAGAUAUCAUAAAGAACACCAAUUGCGAAGGCAGCUUACUAGGCCGUAACUGACGCUGAGGCACGAAAGUGUGGGGAGCGAACAGGAUUAGAUACCCUGGUAGUCCACACCGUAAACGAUGAUUACUCGAUGUUGGCGACAUACAGUCAGCGUCCAAGCGAAAGCGUUAAGUAAUCCACCUGGGGAGUACGCUGGCAACAGUGAAACUUAAAUGAAUUGACGGGG